CAGAGUGCCUCGGCGGAGGGGCCCGGCGGGAACAAACAGCCGCCGCCGCGGGAGCGCUGCUCGGGUGGCCGGAGGCAGAUCCUCCUCUUGGCCGCAGAUCCCGCAAACGCUCGCUCUCUGGAGCCGCUGCCUUCAGUGCGCUCAGCCCUGGAUGGUAAGGGUUCACGCGGGUGCCAGCUGGAGCUGGGAGCAGCAGCGAUAGUCCCCCAUCCGUCAUCUCCCCAAAGCAGCGCUCGGGCCACCGAGGCCGACGCGCAGUUGGAGCCGCACCAGCGGAGCCUGAGACGCCGGGACCAACGCCGCCGGAGCGGGACCCGAGGGAACCCGAGCGGCUUCCGGCCCAAGGCGAGACGCACUUAAGUGAUCGCAAGGAGCAAAGCUGGCGUUCUGAGCCUCGGGCCUCGGAGAGGUGAAGCACAACCCUGAAGAUUACCUGAAGGAGCUUCUCUACUGACAUGCUGGCCAGUGUCCUUGCCAAAGAUGUCACUUUCCUAGACAUUUCUCAUCUCGUCCCCACUAUUUCAAGAUCCCAGGGACAGAGACUUGUAUGGCAAACAAGAUUUGAAUUCAGAAUUCAAGAAGCACUUCCCGACUUCAGCCAAGUAAGAAGGAUCCUCUUCUUCCUGUCUGUGGAAAUUUCUUGGAUUUGGAAGGACUUUAUCAUGAAGUUCUGUGAGGCAGGAGGACUGUAACACCAUUUGGAGCAGAAGCAAGUAUGCAUUUUGAUCUCGGCGGUGCUCUACUCCUUAGAGAACUGAGGGCGGGAUCUUCCCUACCUGUUUGGCUGCAGGGAGGGGCGAUUUUCUCAUUGGACCAAUGGGGACUUAGUCUCCACCUCCACGUCUUUCAGCUCUACUGCAGAUUAGUGCGAGGACGGCAAGUGAGAAUGGCUUCUGCAGCAGGUGAUGGAUGGCAUUUCAUCAGGCCUACUAUGAGCACAGCUAUGGCUGAAUCACAUCCUAAUCCUACUUCAUGAACUUUUGCCUGGUAACUCACAAGGGGCUCACCCUAUGCGGCAACCCAAGAUCCUGAACAGAAUUCCCCUACUGUCUCCCCAGACCACUCCCCCAAGUCACCAGCCAGCACACCAAGCCCAGAGGAAAGUUUCUUCUUUUUAAUUAAACUAGUUUUAAUUAAAAAUAAUAAUAAUCUAGUAAGUCUCAAGUUUUUCAGAUGAUGGGGCAGCCCACUAACUCCUCCUGAAGUCAAGGUGUUACUUGUCUCAGAAAUGAAGAGCUGUCCUGGGGUCUGGAGGAGCUCAGCCAGGUUCCAGUCUGUGUCAAAGGGGUGUGCUCUCUCAGUAGGAAAUAGAGCGGACAAGUAAGUGGGAGUGGGGGACAAGCUUGUGGGGGGAAUGAAGGGACAACAGCCAGGGAGUCACAGACCUAGGAGUCUGGCCUCUAAUGUGUUAUUAAAACAAAACAAAACAAAACAAAACACCCAGGGGAGGUUAAAGACCAGUUGGGAGGUGGUUUGAGAUCGAAGGUCUGACUUCCAAAGGCUUGAAAUUCACUAGAAAUUCGAGGUGGGGCCUCACAGGUGGUUCUCCAGAUCCUCAGACAUGGGACCCAAAACAGUGCAGAGGUCGGGGGCGUGCCCAGAUGAGGGCUCACAGUGGAGGGAGAAGAAAUGCGGGCCUUACAAUUCUGAAUGGGGGAUGGGGAGUUAAGUCCAGUGGAGAGAUGGUGCGAGGUUCCCCAGGGAUGAGGGAUAGCGGCGGGUGAAACAGGUGUGCUCAAGUCCACGAGGCAGAGCUGGGGAGCUCCGAGGUGCGCUCUAAGGCACGGGGACAGAGACUGGGGCUCCCAGGCAGCGCCCCUUCCUGGGGAAGAGGG
Molecule: long non-coding RNA, 1835 nt
Filed under: Bos indicus x Bos taurus (hybrid cattle)
Lineage: Eukaryota; Metazoa; Chordata; Mammalia; Artiodactyla; Bovidae
Description: lncRNA (ENSBIXG00000026133.1)
Source: RNAcentral